This 492-nucleotide ribosomal RNA is filed under the name uncultured bacterium. RNAcentral's name for it is "partial 16S ribosomal RNA". It matches the Rfam family "Bacterial small subunit ribosomal RNA", at positions 30 to 507 of the family's 1533-position model. The record is from RNAcentral.
AGUGAACGCUGGCGGUAGGCCUAACACAUGCAAGUCGAACGGCAGCACAGUAAGAGCUUUCUCUUACGGGUGGCGAGUGGCGGAAGGGGGAGGAAUACAUCGGAUUCUACUUUUUCGUGGGGGGUAACGUAGGGAAACUUACGCUAAUACAGCAUUCGACCUACGGGGGGAAGCAGAGGAUCUUGGGACCUUGGGCGGUUGAACGAGCCGAUGUCGUUUUGGUUGGUUGGCGGGGUAACGGCCCACCGAGGCGACGAUCCGUUGCUGGUCUGAGAGGAUGAACAGCCACAGUGGAGCUGAGACGCGGCCCUGACUCCUACGGGCGGCAGCGGUUGGGAAUAGUGGAAAAUGUGCGGAAGACUGAUCAAGGCAUAGCGGGUGGGUGAAGAAGGGCUUCGGGCUGUAUAGCCGUUUUGGUGUGAAAGAACAGCAGCAGCUUAAGCCACCGCUGUUGUGACGGUACCCAAAGAAUAAGCACCGGCUAACUUCGUG